RNAcentral lists this ribosomal RNA (253 nucleotides) under uncultured bacterium. RNAcentral's name for it is "partial 16S ribosomal RNA". It matches the Rfam family "Bacterial small subunit ribosomal RNA", at positions 524 to 776 of the family's 1533-position model. The record is from RNAcentral.
UACGUAGGGGGCAAGCGUUGUCCGGAAUCAUUGGGCGUAAAGCGCGUGUAGGCGGUCCGGUAAGUCCGCUGUGAAAGUCGGGGGCUCAACCCUCGGAUGCCGGUGGAUACUGUCGGGCUUGAGUACGGAAGAGGCGAGUGGAAUUCCUGGUGUAGCGGUGAAAUGCGUAGAUAUCAGGAGGAACACCAGUGGCGAAGGCGGCUUCCUGGACACCAACUGACGCUGAGACGCGAAAGCGUGGGGAGCAAACAGG